RNAcentral lists this ribosomal RNA (457 nucleotides) under uncultured soil bacterium. Its description in RNAcentral is "bacterial SSU rRNA". It matches the Rfam family "Bacterial small subunit ribosomal RNA", at positions 26 to 518 of the family's 1533-position model. The record is from RNAcentral.
AGAACGAACGCUGGCGGCAUGCCUAACACAUGCAAGUCGAACGAGACCCCAACUUCGGUUGGACGUCUAGUGGCGCACGGGUGCGUAACGCGUGGGAAUCUGCCCUUCGGUUCGGAAUAACUCGGAGAAAUCCGUGCUAAUACCGGAUAAUGACGUAAGUCCAAAGAUUUAUCGCCGAGGGAUGAGCCCGCGUAGGAUUAGCUUGUUGGUGAGGUAAAGGCUCACCAAGGCGACGAUCCUUAGCUGGUCUGAGAGGAUGAUCAGCCACACUGGGACUGAGACACGGCCCAGACUCCUACGGGAGGCAGCAGUGGGGAAUAUUGGACAAUGGGCGAAAGCCUGAUCCAGCAAUGCCGCGUGAGUGAUGAAGGCCUUAGGGUUGUAAAGCUCUUUUACCCGGGGAUGAUAAUGACAGUACCGGAGAAUAAGCUCCGGCUAACUCCGUGCCAGCAGCCGC